Molecule: transfer RNA, 72 nt
Filed under: Chaetodon speculum (mirror butterflyfish)
Lineage: Eukaryota; Metazoa; Chordata; Actinopteri; Chaetodontiformes; Chaetodontidae
Description: tRNA-Trp
Rfam family: tRNA
About the family: Transfer RNA (tRNA) molecules are approximately 80 nucleotides in length. Their secondary structure includes four short double-helical elements and three loops (D, anti-codon, and T loops).
Source: RNAcentral
AGAGACUUAGGUUUAAGAUAAGACCAAGGGCCUUCAAAGCCCUCAGUAGGGGUGAGAAUCUCCUAGUCUCUG